This 70-nucleotide transfer RNA is filed under the name Anoura caudifer (tailed tailless bat). RNAcentral's name for it is "transfer RNA-Asp". Lineage: Eukaryota; Metazoa; Chordata; Mammalia; Chiroptera; Phyllostomidae. The record is from RNAcentral.
AGCGAGGUAUUAGUAAAACUUACGUAACUUUGUCGAAGUUAAAUUACGGAUGAGACUUCCGUAUAUCUCC